Long non-coding RNA from Eriocheir sinensis (Chinese mitten crab), 1072 nucleotides. RefSeq lists it as uncharacterized. The transcript has 2 exons. NCBI's taxonomy places the organism in Eukaryota, Metazoa, Arthropoda, Malacostraca, Decapoda, Varunidae. The record is from RefSeq and is a predicted model, not a curated record.
GAACCUGAAGAAACGCUCAUUAGAACCCGGCUGACCCCCCUCUUUGACCUUUAAAAAUAGCUGAUAUGAGAAGCCAAAGUGUCUUACAAUACGGACCCAUAUAUUUGGCAUAGGGAUGAGUGAGAAACCUGACAAAGAAAGGGAAGGAGGUAGGAAGGUAGGUGUAUAUAUAUAACUACGGCAGCUGCUUAAAUGGCAGAGUGGUGACAUUUAUACUUCAACGGCAAAUAUAUAGAGAAGACGAAAAUAAUGAAGAAAGUAGAUGGUGGGUAUGGCCGUGGUCCGCACCUAAAUGGAAGGAAAAAAAGAGGAAAAGAUGGAGUAAGGAGGAAAAAGAAGAAAAGAGGAGGAAGGAGGGUAACGAUAAUACCACCACUACUAUUAUUACUACUACUACUACUAACAACAAUAAUGAUAAUAAUAAUAAUAAUAGGAUAGAAUAUAUUUAGGAAAGAAAAGAAGGAGAAGUACAUGAAAAAUAUGAAUAUGGAAAUGAAUAAGAAUAAGAAAAUAAGAAGCAGAAGAUAAAAAAUAAGAAUAAGAAAAAAAAGAAGAAAAGAAGGAAAGUACACAAAAUAUGGGGUAAGAAAAUAAAGAAGCAGAAGAUAAAAAAUAAGAAAUAAUAUUAAGAAGAAAAAGAAGAAAAGAAGGAAAGUACACAAAACAUGGGGUGGCACAAAUAAACAAAAUUACUGAAGGUAAAUGAUUAUGAUGCCCACACAGAUAUUUGUUCCUGGCAUAUAUGAAGGUUAGUUUAGUUGGUCUAUCAGUUCUAAUGGUCAUGGCUUGGAAAUCUUAAAUGGUAACUCACAGAAAGAAAAAAAUAGCUUAGAUGCAUUCCUAUUACAUAUCAAAGAAUUCCCAAACUGAAGUAGUUGCAACACAGAUACAUAUUUCUUCUUGGCAUAUAUGAAGGUUAGUUUAGUUGGUCUAUCAGUUCUAAUGGUCAUGGUUUGUAAAUCUUAAAUGGUAACUCACAAGAAGAAAAAAAAAUAGCUUAGAUGCACUCCUCUACUACAAAUCAAAGAAUUCCCAAACCGAAGUAGAUGCAAAAUAAAAUGACUACGUAAAG